Molecule: non-coding RNA, 99 nt
Filed under: human gut metagenome
Description: SAM riboswitch (S box leader)
Rfam family: SAM riboswitch aptamer (S box leader)
About the family: The SAM riboswitch is found upstream of a number of genes which code for proteins involved in methionine or cysteine biosynthesis in Gram-positive bacteria.
Source: RNAcentral
UUUAUCAAGAGAGGUGGAGGGACUGGCCCGUUGAAACCCAGCAACCAGCAUAAUUAUAUGUAAUGGUGCUAAAUCCUGCAGUAUUUUACUGGGAGAUAA